UGUGUCACGUGAUCACCGCCAUAUUUGUUCGAACAAACUCGUACUUGCCGAACAUUCGACCGAAAACAAGUCCAAGUCUGCGAAAUUCUGAAAUGUCCGGCUAUUUUACAGCGUGAAAAUUGGAAUAAGGAAAAUUCCAUCACCUGCAGGGAAACCCUGAAUAGGACAGUAACGCAGUUUUCAGCAAGCCAGAUGUAGACAGCAGGAUGGCUAUGCGGGUGAAGCAGAGACAUGGGAUGGUACCCCCACUGGACCAACUAGAGUAUGAUGAUUUCUGGAAGGAAUUCCGGUCCAUAGAGGAGAGUGGCCGUCUGCCGCAGCCCGAAGAUGAGCAUGAAGAGAAGGAUCCAGCAGAAGGGGACCAAGAGGUCCAAUGGCUGAAGGAAGCAGGUUUUGAUGAAAUUGUUAAAAAGUAUAGAGACAGCAAGGAAAUUAACCCAGAAGACUUAGAUGUUCAAAACAUCACCUCAUCUCUGACCCGAAAACAGGCAGAAGCUGUUAGACGGCGAAUAAACACCUUGAAUGAAUACACCAAAAAGCGACUAAGCAGCUCUGACAGUCCAUCAAAUACAAGCAGCGCUCUGCCGGCAUCAUCCAAACACUCAAACUACACCGAUGUCCGCACAAUAUUCCCUGUCCAAACCACUGGACAGCCUAGUAAUGCAACAACAAGCUCAUCAACUAGUUACCCAAGCACGGAGGGCACUACCACAACUCCUGUGGUUAGUCCAGUAACAAGUCCUACUGCAGGGCACUCCCGGCGAACACAGAUCCGGAGGCCUUCCCUUCCUCGCCGGGCGGCAAGUGAGGGUGUUAACUUGAUGAAGCCUUUUCGGGAUGAUAGCUCUAUUGAGAGUAGUAUGCAUGGGCUUUACACUUCCCUGGCUGAGAUCCGUACUAAUGGGGAGAGCUUAGAUAAAGAAAAGGCUUCUCCUAGUAAGCUUGUCCACCCGCUGGCGGAGAGAAGAGCAAGUGAGGAUGUUAGAGUUCACUCAGAAGUUCAGCAGACGCGCCACACCCAUGGAUCCGUCUUCUACGUCACUGGACGGACCAAAGAGGAUCUUUUUAAUGCUGCAGAGAAGACAAAAGAGUCUUCUGUUGAUGACCUGGAGGACUCAAGGUUAAAGGUGAAGGAUGUGAGUCCACGCCCAUCGUCACCGCCAGAUCCAGAGCAGCCUGAGUGUUUUCAUGAAGCACCAGUCGAUGUACCUAGUGAGAGCCUCUCACCAAAACUGAACGAGAAAAACAAUGGAGUAAAAUCAUACUCUGGGCCUCAAUUCCCACGUUUACCCAAUUUCACGCUUACAAAAGACGAGCUUGGAUUGACUCACAUAUCAGACAUGAGUAAGGAAGACAUGGAGAAGGUCCGCUCACUGGCACUGAUUGAGUUGACAGCAUUGUUUGAUCAGCAUGGUAUUGCACUGCAUCGAAGAAAACCCAUAAAGAAGAAAGUCAAAGAGUGUGGGAUAUUUGAGGUACCACUACAAUACCUUGUUCAACACGAUCGUCUCAAGGGCUCCAACUCUAAUGUUCCACUGUUCCUCCAAGAGAUGAUACGAUUCUUGGAUCAUAAUAGCUUGACAGAGGAGGGAAUUCUCAGGGUUGGCGGAGCAACAGCCAGAAUGAAGGCCCUGCGUGAAGAAAUCGAGGAGACUUUUAACGAAGGCGCGUUUAGCUUAGAUGGGAGGAGAGUCCAUGAUGUAGCUGGACUUCUCAAACAGUUUCUCAGAGAGCUUCCCUUUCCUCUCUUGACGUACGAGUACCAGCCAACCUUUGCAUCAGUAGAAAAUAUCCCAGAUAGAAGACAACAACUGCAGGCAUUAAACUUGCUGAUAUUACUCCUCCCAUCCAUCCACAGAGACUGCCUACGGGUUCUCCUUACGUUCCUGAGCCGAAUCAUCUCGUACGAGAAGCAGAACAAGAUGAACUUGAACAAUGUGUCCAUGAUCAUGGCACCCAACCUUUUCCACUUCAGCAGCAGCAAGGAGAUGCCCAGCCUACGGGAGGUCAAGCAAGCCCAGGCCACCGUCAACCUCGUGAGGAUGCUCAUCAAAUACCAGAAUAUACUCUGGACGAUCCCUGGUUUCAUGGUAAUGCAGGUCCGUUAUCUCUAUGAGGCCGAGGGAAAUCGCAAGAUUAAGGAUGCCAAAGCAGUCAGGAAGCUGCUACUUAAGAAAGGUCGUGAAGGAGGAGGUGGCUCUCCCCAGAAAAAGCACUCGAUAACUGACACACCCAUGGAAGUGCUGGAGGCUGAACUGGCCAAUAACAUCAUCCGCGUGAAAGCACCAAUGCUGAACAAGAUCGCAAUGGCCAUACAGCUCACAGACGGGAUGAGGGCGGGAGACAUAGUGGCCAAGUUUCGCCGAAGACCCGGGGAGGACGCGGAGGGGUCAGAACCACGCCCAUCAGGCAGACGGCACAAGAGGGAUGUCAUGUCCCCCGAGUAUAGGAACUGCGUCAACCCACAUGACAACAACAAGUUUGCACACGAUAGGCACCACUUGUAUGAGGUCGGAGGCAACAUAGGUACUCGUACAAGGCAACAUAGUUGAGCAAGACAGCAUGCUGAGUCCAUGUAAGAUACUCAUACGAGGCAACAUAGGGGAGCGUUGUCUUGACAACGACACCAACAUGAAGGCGCUGUACAAAGUGAAUCCCCACGCCGAAUGGAUAAUCAAGCCGCGCUCGGAUUACGAGUAAACGCCGAGAAGCAUCCGAACAAUCCUCGAAGCCAUAACGUGGCAAAAGAUGCUCUCGUGUUUCGGACGGUAGGCCUUGAACCCUCUUCGAACAAGACGAAAUAACCCAGAGGAUUAUGGACGAAAAUGGACGCUCUCCAAAACUAUUGCAAAUAUCAACGUAAAUUAAGCAAGAAUAUAGCCAUGUGGUGUGAUAAUAACCGUAUCAUGGAGAGAGGUAUAUCAAGUUUGUCUCAUCAAAAAAAUGCUUAUCCGUCACACCUUUUUAUAGAGCAAAGCGUUCGGAUCGUAAUGCCAUUGCCAUUGGUUCGCUACUGUAUAAAAAUCUUAUAUCUGACUUUAAAACUUAUGCGAUCGACUAAGAUUUUUAUACAAAAUUAGGGAAAACACGCAUUUAUGGAGUGUUCAUUAAAUACACCGGGGGGGGGAGGGUAUAUAUUGAGGGGGGCUCCGAAAAUUUUUAACAUCCAAAUAGGGGGGACCCCCAAAAAAAGGUACUCUAAGGGGGAAAAAAAGAAAAUUUUGGGUUUCUAUAUAGGGGGCGCCGAAAAAAAAAUGUUUACAAUGAAAGGGGGACUCUGAACUUUUAAGGUGUCUUGGGUAAAAAAAUCUCCCCCCCUCCCUCCCCGGUGUAAUCAAUGAACACUACCUUAUGCUGGGACACUUGUGGCCUGGUUACCAGGAAAAAAAACUGAUAGCAAAACGUUAUCUUUAUAAUCAUGUUAAAUUCAAACCAACUCAAGUUCAUGUUAGAUCACCAAGCUGGCAAUUGGUCUUUUAACUAUUUAUCUAAUUUAUUCUAGUAACGCAUUGGUUGCCAGGAAUCUCGGACAUGGUGUAGCGUAAUCUUGAUUUUUGCCUUAGUUUUCACCAAGUGAGGGCGAGCACCAAUAAUUAAUGUAUGAAAAUACUAAUAUGUGGUUUCCCUGUUCAACUAUCAGUAAGAUAUUGCAAUAAUAUUUCCAUGAAGUUUUAAUGUUUGUGUUUAAUGUUUGAUGGUGCAGUUAUAUUUCCAGAAAGUUAAAAUGCCAGUAAAAAGAUGUACAGUAAUAUUUCCAGGAAGUGCAAAUGUCAGUUGAUGGUACAGCAUUAUUUCCAGGAAGUUAAAAUGCCAGUCAUAUGGUACAGCAAUAUUUCCAGGAAGUAGAAAUGUCAGCUGAAGAUACAACAAUAUUUCCAGCUAGUAAAUUGUAACUAGCAAAGUUGAAAGGGUGUUUUAAACUUUCUAAAAAAAAGGCAAUAUUUGAAUUGAUUGAUUCUAGAAUACAGCUAGCAAUAGACAUACAUAAUAGAUUUUUCCAAUGGAAAGCACAUUGUAUAUCCUUAUGGAGUCGAGGGCCGUGAUGGAUGCUCCGCCGCCUACUGUUCCAAGUCACCUGCUCAUUUUCUAUUAAAAUGUUGGAACCCUG
Nematostella vectensis (starlet sea anemone) is the source of this 4108-nucleotide RNA transcript. It is a transcript of the gene named rho GTPase-activating protein 18, with no coding region annotated. The transcript has 18 exons. Lineage: Eukaryota; Metazoa; Cnidaria; Anthozoa; Actiniaria; Edwardsiidae. The record is from RefSeq and is a predicted model, not a curated record.